AGUGGUUAAGUGCUCAGCUGCUAACUGAAAGGUUGGUGGUUUGAACCCACCAACCACUC
This 59-nucleotide transfer RNA is filed under the name Loxodonta africana (African savanna elephant). It matches the Rfam family "tRNA", at positions 14 to 71 of the family's 71-position model. From Rfam's summary of the family: Transfer RNA (tRNA) molecules are approximately 80 nucleotides in length. Their secondary structure includes four short double-helical elements and three loops (D, anti-codon, and T loops). Further hydrogen bonds mediate the characteristic L-shaped molecular structure. tRNAs have two regions of fundamental functional importance: the anti-codon, which is responsible for specific mRNA codon recognition, and the 3' end, to which the tRNAs corresponding amino acid is attached (by aminoacyl-tRNA synthetases). tRNAs cope with the degeneracy of the genetic code in two manners: having more than one tRNA (with a specific anti-codon) for a particular amino acid; and 'wobble' base-pairing, i.e. permitting non-standard base-pairing at the 3rd anti-codon position. The record is from Rfam by way of RNAcentral. Lineage: Eukaryota; Metazoa; Chordata; Mammalia; Proboscidea; Elephantidae.